This 217-nucleotide ribosomal RNA is filed under the name uncultured bacterium. Its description in RNAcentral is "partial 16S ribosomal RNA". It matches the Rfam family "Bacterial small subunit ribosomal RNA", at positions 57 to 305 of the family's 1533-position model. The record is from RNAcentral.
GCAAGUCGAACGAACCUUCGGGUUAGUGGCGGACGGGUGAGUAACGCGUGAGGAUCUGCCUAUAGGACGGGGACAACAGUGGGAAACUGCUGCUAAGACCCGAUGUGCCGAGAGGUGAAAUAUUUAUAGCCUGUAGAUGAGCUCGCGUCUGAUUAGCUAGUUGGUGUGGUAAGGGCAUACCAAGGCGACGAUCAGUAGCUGUUCUGAGAGGAAGAUC